GCCUACGGGUGGCAGCAGUAGGGAAUUUUCCGCAAUGGGCGAAAGCCUGACGGAGCAACGCCGCGUGAAUGAGGACGGUCUUCGGAUUGUAAAGUUCUGUUCUGUGGGAAGAAGAAAGUGACGGUACCAUAGGAGAAAGCCCCGGCUAACUACGUGCCAGCAGCCGCGGUAAUACGUAGGGGGCAAGCGUUAUCCGGAAUUAUUGGGCGUAAAGCGCGCGCAGGCGGUUAAUUAAGUCAGAUGUGAAAGGCUACGGCUCAACCGUAGAGUUGCAUUUGAAACUGGUUAACUUGAGUGCAGGAGAGGUGAGUGGAAUUCCCGGUGUAGCGGUGGAAUGCGUAGAGAUCGGGAGGAACACCAGUGGCGAAGGCGGCUCACUGGCCUGCAACUGACGCUGAGGCGCGAAAGCGUGGGGAGCGAACAGGAUUAGAUACCCUGGUAGUCC
RNAcentral lists this ribosomal RNA (445 nucleotides) under uncultured Thermoactinomycetaceae bacterium. RNAcentral describes it as "bacterial SSU rRNA". It matches the Rfam family "Bacterial small subunit ribosomal RNA", at positions 337 to 796 of the family's 1533-position model. The record is from RNAcentral. Lineage: Bacteria; Bacillati; Bacillota; Bacilli; Caryophanales; Thermoactinomycetaceae.